Molecule: non-coding RNA, 73 nt
Organism: Gymnothorax javanicus (giant moray)
Lineage: Eukaryota; Metazoa; Chordata; Actinopteri; Anguilliformes; Muraenidae
Source: the annotation of a GenBank genome assembly
GGGGGUAUAGUUCAGUGGUAGAGCAUUUGACUGCAGCUCAAGAGGUCCCUAGUUCAAAAUUUGGGUGCCCCUU